AGAGUUUGAUCAUGGCUCAGGAUGAACGCUAGCGGCAGGCCUAAUACAUGCAAGUCGAACGGUAAGAUCUCGCUUGCGAGAUACACGAGUGGCGCACGGGUGAGUAACGCGUAUGCAACCUACCUUCAACUGGAGAAUAGCCCCGAGAAAUCGGGAUUAAUGCUCCAUAACAUCCAGCUUUCGCAUGUUAGCUGGAUUAAAGUCCCGACGGUUGAAGAUGGGCAUGCGUGACAUUAGUUUGUUGGUGAGGUAACGGCUCACCAAGACCACGAUGUCUAGGGGUUCUGAGAGGAUAGUCCCCCACACUGGUACUGAGACACGGACCAGACUCCUACGGGAGGCAGCAGUAAGGAAUAUUGGUCAAUGGACGAAAGUCUGAACUAGCCAUGCCGCGUGCAGGAUGACAGCCCUACGGGUUGUAAACUGCUUUUAUAUGGGAAGAAUCCCCUGUACGUGUACAGGGUUGACGGUACCGUAUGAAUAAGCAUCGGCUAACUCCGU
This 501-nucleotide ribosomal RNA is filed under the name uncultured bacterium. Its description in RNAcentral is "bacterial SSU rRNA". It matches the Rfam family "Bacterial small subunit ribosomal RNA", at positions 8 to 506 of the family's 1533-position model. The record is from RNAcentral.